AAAAAAAGAUGAGUUUGAUGUUGGCUCCGAAUGAACGCUGUCCAGAAGCUUUAACACAUGCUAAUCGAACGAUCAAACCUAAGCUUUUAGCUCUUAAAUUUCUGUGACUUCCAAAGUUACAAUAAAAUAAGAACAGAAGAUAGUUUGAAAGUGGUGUACAGGUGAGUAUAAAGUAGGAAGACUAGCCCAAAGAAAGGCAUAAAAUACCUUAUAGAAAGGCGUUGCCAAAAAAAGAUAUAUAAUUUCGCUUUGGGAUGAGCCUACUCGGGGAGGUAGUAGGAGAGGUAAUUGCUUAACUAGCCUAAGAUCCGUAGUCGUAUCUGAGAGGAUGAUCGACCACAUUGGCUCUGAAACAACAGCCAAGUCUACCCAUAAGGGAAACCAGCAGUGAGGAAUAUUGGUCACUGACCGCAAGGUUGAACCAGCUAUCUGGAAGGGUGUAAACUAAAUAAGGAUAAAGCCCUAAAAAAGAGAGGAUAAUGACGUUAUCUUUUUGACUAGUCUCGACCAAAUCACGUGCCAGCAGUCGCGGUAAAACGUGGGAGGCAAGCGUUAUUGAUCUUAAAUGGGUCUAAAGGGUCCGUAAAACGGUAAAUUAAGCGAAUACCUCACCUAUUCGGGGAGGUAGUAUAAUCGAACUGAUUUACUAGAGUCUUAUAGAAGAACAGAGGAAUUGCAAGAGUAAGGAUGAAAUCUAUUGAUACUUGUAGGACCGCCAAAGGCGAAGGCAUCGUUCUAGGUAAAGACUGACGUUGAGGGACGUAGGCGUUGGGAGCGAAAAGGAUUAGAUACCCCUGUAGUCAACGCUGUAAACGAUGAGUGCUUAAGAUUAGUAAUAAUUAUUAACAAGUUAUUAGGCUUUAAUGCCGUUAACUAUUAAAAAAAAAAAAUUAGUCUCGAAAUGAAGAUGUUAAGCACUUCACCUGGGGAGUACUGUCGCAAGGCUGAAACCCAAAACAUUAGACGGUCACGGAAACCAGCAGUGAAGCAUGUUAUUUAAUACGAUGAUCCGCGUACAACCUUACCACUUCUUGAAUGUCCUUUUCUGUAAAAAGAAAAGGCCUAUUUAAUUAAAAAACUUUAAUUAAAUUUGGAUAAAUACAACAGGCGUUGCAUGGCUGUCUUCAGUUCGUGUCGUGAGAUGUCAGGUUCAUUCCGGUCAACGAAUGAAACCCUUCUUUCUUAAUUUUGCUCUUUUUUUUUAUUAAUUUAAAUUAAAUUUAUUAAGAUGACCCUUGGAAAACGAGGAUAUAAUGGGGAUUAAGACAAGUCGUCAUGGCCUUUAUGAAGUGGGCUAUAGACGUGCCACAAAAGCUUUUACAAUAGGAUGCUAAGACGUGAGUCAGCGCUAAACCUUAAAAAAAGCUAUGUUCGGAUUGUAGUCUGCAACUCGACUACAUGAAGCAGGAAUUGCUAGUAAUCGUAAAUCAGGACGUUACGGUGAAGUAUUAAAUCUGUGAUGUACUAACUACUCGUCAAGCGCGGAAAGGUGCGUGGCCCCGAAGAGGUUAUCCUUUUUUUCUUAUUACAAUAGGACAAAAGGGAUGGUUUCGACUGGUCGGCGCUGAUUCGUGUUAAGUCGAAAUAAGGUAGGUGUAGGGGAACCUGUACCUGAAAAAUUAAUAUCCAACUACCCCUUUAUUAUU
Molecule: ribosomal RNA, 1646 nt
Filed under: Taphrina flavorubra JCM 22207
Lineage: Eukaryota; Fungi; Ascomycota; Taphrinomycetes; Taphrinales; Taphrinaceae
Description: mitochondrial SSU rRNA
Rfam family: Bacterial small subunit ribosomal RNA
Source: RNAcentral